AGGGAGAUGGUUGAGUGGUUAAAACAACGGUUUGCUAAACCGUCACAUUAUAACUAAUUAAUGUCAUGGGUUCAAAUCCCAUUCUUCCUG
This 90-nucleotide transfer RNA is filed under the name Rhodymenia pseudopalmata. RNAcentral's name for it is "tRNA-Ser". It matches the Rfam family "tRNA". Rfam says of the family: Transfer RNA (tRNA) molecules are approximately 80 nucleotides in length. Their secondary structure includes four short double-helical elements and three loops (D, anti-codon, and T loops). The record is from RNAcentral. Lineage: Eukaryota; Rhodophyta; Florideophyceae; Rhodymeniales; Rhodymeniaceae.